CUCUCUCUCUCUCUCUCUCACAAAAACACACCGGAAGACACAGCAACCCUGCUCAGUAGCUACGAAGUCACUUACCACUGCUUAACACCUCUGAAGUCAACCUAGGUCAUCGGAAGAAGUAGAGGACACCAGAAACCCCCGUCGGCAUCCACCGCAGCAGCUCACCGGAAAACUCAAAAUCGACAGUAAAGGGAUUAUUAAGAUUUGUAAAAGAUUCGAGGGAUUAAGGGCACUAGGGUGCAGAGAAUGAAGGGAAAAGUUCGAAUAUGACAAUUCUAGGCCAAGUCGUCGUCGGAGACGGCGGAAAUAGACGAACACAGUCGGAGCUUCUCGCCAUCGAUUUGUCUUUGAAUCAGUAUGUGCAAUUCACGGGCUGGGUUAUGUAGAGGGGAAAGAGAGAAGAAAUUUGGUGGUGGUUUUGUGGAGAAUGGUGGCCAGAGUCGACCGAGAGGCGUCGGAGAAGACGGCCGAGGACGGAGAGCUUCUCAGCUCUCGUCGUACGCGAGAGAGGAGUGCUUGACCCGACUUGGGUCAGUUGACCUUGGUUGGGUUUUCAAAGAAGGAAUCAACGGUCAAGAUUAAAAGAGAACGAGAUCAAAAUGGUCUACUUGUUUACGAACACUAACCUACCAGUUUUGUAAACAUGGUGUACUAGGUUUUCGAAUCAUUGUCUCACACUACGAGUAGACCAACUCUAAAGUGUCCAAAAUUCACACACACUUGAAGAAUUCUUGAGAGGUUUACAUGUUUAUGAAGCCUGGUCUGCUUAUUUACGAGUACGGGUCUACUUUUUUUGUGAGACAAAAUGGUCUACCUGUUUACGAACACGAACCUACCUGUUUUGUAAACAUGGUCUACCAGGUUUCCGAAUCAUUGACUCAUACUAUGUGUAGACCAACUCUACAGUGUCCAGAAUUCACACACACUUGAAGAAUUUUUAAGAGGUCUAUCUGUUUACGAAGUCUGGUCUGCUUAUUUACGAGAAAGGGUCUACUUUUUUUGUGAGACAAAAUGGUCUACCUGUUUACGAACACUAACCUACCUGUUUUGUAAACAUGGUGUACUAGGUUUUCGAAUCAUUGUCUCACACUACGAGUAGACCAACUCUAAAGUGUCCAAAAUUCACACACACUUGAAGAAUUCUUAAGAGGUUUACAUGUUUAUGAAGCCUGGUCUGCUUAUUUACGAGUACAGGUCUACUUUUUUUGUGAGACAAAAUGGUCUACCUUUUUACAAACAGAAACCUACCUGUUUUGUAAACAUGGUCUAGCAGGUUUUCGAAUCAUUGUCUCACACUACGAGUAGACUAACUCUAAAGAGUCCAGAAUUCACACACUUGAAGAAUUCUUGAGAGGUUUACCUGUUUACGAAGCCUAGUCUGCUUAUUCACGAGUACGGGUCUACUUUUUUUGUGAGACGAAAUGGUCUACCUGUUUACGAACACUAACCUACCUGUUUUGUAAAUAUGGUGUACCAGGUUUCUGAAUCAUUGACUCAUACUACGUGUAGACCAACUCUAAAGUGUCCAGAAUUCACACACACUUGAAGAAUUCUUGAGAGAUCUACCUAUUUACGAAGCCUGGUCUGCUUAUUUACGAGAAAGGGUCUAUUUUUUUGUGAGACAAAAUGGUCUACCUGUUUACGAACAAUAACCUACCUGUUUUGUGAACAUGGUAUACUAUGUUUUCGAAUCAUUGACUCACACUACGAGUAGACCAAUUCUAAAGUGUGCAGAAUUCACAGACACUUGAAAAAUUUUUGAGAGGUCUACCUGUUUACGAAGCCUGGUCUGCUUAUUUAUGAGUAAGUGUCUACUUUAUUUGUGAGACAAAAUGGUCUACCUGUUUACGAAGACUAACUUACCUGUUUUGUGAACAUGGUGUACUAGGUUUUCGAAUCAUUGACUCACACUACGAGUAGACCAACUCUAAAGUGUGUAGAAUUCACAAACACUUGAAGAAUUUUUGAGAUCCUACAUGUUUACGAAGCUUUGUUUGCUUAUUUACGAGUAAGGGUCUAUUUUUUUCGUGAGACAAAAUGGUCUACCUGUUUACGAACAACAACCUACCUGUUUUGUGAACAUGGUGUAUUAGGUUUUCUAAUCAUUGACUCUCACUACGAGUAGACCAACUCUAAAGUGUGCAGAAUUCAUAGACACUUGAAGAAUUCUUGAGAGGUCUACCUGUUUACGAAGCCUGGUCUGCUUAUUUACGAGUAAGGCUCUACUUUUUUUGUGAGACAAAAUAGUCUACCUGUUUACGAAGACUAACCUAUUUGUUUUGUGAACAUGGUGUACAAGGUUUUCGAAUCAGUGACUCAUACUAUGCGUAGACCAACUCUAAAGUGUCUAGAAUUCAUAAACACUUGAAGAAGUCUUGAGAGAUAUACCUGUUUACAAAGCCUAGUUUGCUUAUUUACUAGUAAAGGUCUAUUUUUUUGUUGACAAUUGUCUACUAAUUGUCUUAGCGUCUCAUGAACCAGGUCUAACUUACGUUGACAAAUGACAAUUGUCUACUAAUUGUCUUAGCGUUUGUCAUGUACAAGUAGACUUCGGCAUGCAUAAGUCACCGUCUUCCAUAUGAAAAGAACACAUUUGAGAGGGUUGUUUUUUAGAAUAUUACUGCUCUUAUAUGCAAGUCUACUCAAAGUCCUAGUUUAAUGUGCACCAUGUACUAGUUUCAUGACACGCUUGCUCAUAUAGAAGUAGACAUUCUGAAGAGUUGUUCUUGAGACUGUUACCUAAUGAACCACCAAACUUUUCAUUGCAUCAAUAUCCAUCAAAAUACAUUGUAUCCCUCAGUUGCAAAAGUUUAAACUCUAAAUGACACGACCCAUCCCAAAUUUCACCCUGAAACCCAGAGUAAGUCGUGCGGGGACCACCUCCAAGGAAAAUUUACUAAAAAAUCGGCAUAACCUCCCUUGAAAAUGGACAACCCUUCCUAAUAAUACCUGUAAACACUUCUGAAAAUUUAAAUCCAACCUUAAACUCCUGGAGCCUCCGUGCUCCCCAAAUCACAACACCACCUAAAUUAUUUACUAAUCUAAACAAAUCUCGUAUCCAACCAUUUAUAGGUUUAGAGCAACUCUAACAGGAAGAAAGGAAACAUAAUAAAUUAACAAGCAGAAACUAUAUGAUGACUCUGCCUCAUCCCCAUGUACGCCCGACCUCAACUAUGCAAUCCUGCAAAUUGGGCAUUUUUAAAACGAAGAACCCAAGGGAAAACAUUUGAAACACAUUAGAGUGAGUGGACAAAAAUAAAUUAAGAGAUAAUUUCACUUUACUACCCUGAACUUUAGGUCUAAAAUCAGUUUGAUACCUCAUCUUUUUUUUUAAUCAGUUUCAUACCUAAACUUUCAAAAUGACAUCAAUCUCGACUAAAAUGACUAAAAUAGCCCUGGUUAAUCUUUUUACCCUCUCAGAGUUAAGAAAUGGCAGCGGCGACGGCCGAGGGAGGAGGAGGGGCUGCCGCCGGGGGAGGAGGAGAGGCUGCCGCCGAGGCCCAUUGCUGGUGGUNNNN
Molecule: long non-coding RNA, 3518 nt
Filed under: Fragaria vesca (wild strawberry)
Lineage: Eukaryota; Viridiplantae; Streptophyta; Magnoliopsida; Rosales; Rosaceae
Description: long non-coding RNA (FVES_LNC003727)
Source: RNAcentral